Molecule: ribosomal RNA, 438 nt
Filed under: uncultured bacterium
Lineage: Bacteria
Description: partial 16S ribosomal RNA
Rfam family: Bacterial small subunit ribosomal RNA
Source: RNAcentral
CUACGGGGCGCUGCAGUGAGGAAUAUUGCACAAUGGGGGGAACCCUGAUGCAGCAACGCCGCGUGGAGGAUGACGCAUUUCGGUGUGUAAACUCCUUUUAUAUGCCAAGAAAAUGACGGUAGCAUAUGAAUAAGCACCGGCUAACUCCGUGCCAGCAGCCGCGGUAAUAGGAGGGUGCAAGCGUUACUCGGAAUCACUGGGCGUAAAGGACGCGUAGGCGGGUUGGAAAGUCAGGUGUGAAAUCCUACAGCUUAACUGUAGAACUGCACUUGAAACUUCUAAUCUAGAGUAUGGGAGGGGGAGAUGGAAUUAGUGGUGUAGGGGUAAAAUCCGUAGAUAUCACUAGGAAUACCUAAAGCGAAGGCGAUCUCCUGGAACAUUACUGACGCUAAGGCGUGAAAGCGUGGGGAGCAAACAGGAUUAGAUACCCUGGUAGUC